This 1364-nucleotide long non-coding RNA is filed under the name Helianthus annuus (common sunflower). Its description in RNAcentral is "hypothetical non coding rna". The record is from RNAcentral. Lineage: Eukaryota; Viridiplantae; Streptophyta; Magnoliopsida; Asterales; Asteraceae.
UAAACAUCAAAUUGUCACCUAAAGCAUCCAACUGCUUCUUCCCCGAACCCGGAGGCCGUCCUCUUUGUUUCUUAGCACCCGAAUCCGCAUUCGGGUUGCCACCACCACCAUUAGAAUCCUCCAAACGUCCACCACCACCACCACCACCGCCACCAGUAACCGGCGCCGGAGCUAACCGAAGAGCAAUGUUACCAUCAGGACCCGGCGAAUACUUCCUGGGCCGGCCUCUCUUCUUCCUCACCGGCUCAAUGUUAAACCCACCGGGAGGAUCCGACCCGCCUCCGUACUGACCCGACCCGUCAAGCCCGAACCGUUCGUGAGUUACGAUGCUGUUAUUGCUCGCCGGAGCAGCUGUAGAACUGUUGGGCAUCUGGUGUCGGUGUUGGUGGGUGGUGUAACUGUUCGGUGGCAUAAUCAUCCUCCCCGGCGGCAGGUGGUGGUGGUGAACCUGGUGGUGGUGGGGUUGAUGCCGUGGCAGUGACGAUGGUUGAUGUGGAUUGUUUUGGUCUAGUUGAAGUUGAAAAUGGGAUUUAAGGGUGAAGGGAAUUAGGGUUUUGAAGAAGAGAUUACAGGUAGGAAGGUGAAGGUGGUGUAGAGAGGGGGUGACACCUGGUGUAGUGAUCAUGGUCAAAUCUGCUUACACAUUUCGUCGCCAAUUUUGAAUCUUCUUCUCUCAACUGUAUCUACUCUUUAAAAAUCAAUUCGAAUUUUGAUUCCAAAAUAUGCGACAAAAUAAGUUAACAAUGGAUAUAGAUUAUAGGGAUUGCAAUCAAAUUUGAACUCUUUUGGUAAACUCGAAAUAUUUGGGACGAGUUUGGGAAUAGUUUUUAUUUUUUAUGCGGGUUUGGGACGGGUUUAGGAUUUAGUGAUAUACCCGUUUACCCGACCCAAUUACCCGAUAAAGUGUACCCGUAUAUCCGAUAUAAUUUCUUUUAUAUUAUUAAAUAUGUAUAUAUAUGAUACAUCCAUUUUUUACACAUAUAGAUAUUUUAUUCCGUAUACAUUAUAGUUUAUUUGAUAUAUAUUUUUAUAAUGACAAUACAAAAUGUAACCAGUUAAUAGUUACCCGAUAGAUACCCAAUGGGUUUUGAGAUGAGAAUACCCAACGAGUAAUCUUUUUAAAUUAACGGGUUUACCCGAAACCCACGAGUAUACCCGAUACCUGAUAGGUAUUUACCCGCUAAAAACCUGACGGGUUUGAGACAAGCUUAUCUAACCGGGUUUGGAUUUGAGAUUACCUAAACUCGUCCCAAACCUGACCCAUUGCCAUCCCUAAAUAGAUACAAUAUUAAACUACUUGAAGUACUUAAGUUUAAAAAAAAAACUAUAGAAAUUAAACAUUUAAUAAAAAAGACACUUUUAUU